This 492-nucleotide ribosomal RNA is filed under the name uncultured bacterium. RNAcentral describes it as "partial 16S ribosomal RNA". It matches the Rfam family "Bacterial small subunit ribosomal RNA", at positions 29 to 507 of the family's 1533-position model. The record is from RNAcentral.
AGUGAACGCUGGCGGUAGGCCUAACACAUGCAAGUCGAACGGCAGCACAGUAAGAGCUUGCUCUUACGGGUGGCGAGUGGCGGACGGGUGAGGAAUACAUCGGAAUCUACUUUUUCGUGGGGGAUAACGUAGGGAAACUUACGCUAAUACCGCAUACGACCUACGGGUGAAAGCAGGGGAUCUUCGGACCUUGCGCGAUUGAAUGAGCCGAUGUCGGAUUAGCUAGUUGGCGGGGUAAAGGCCCACCAAGGCGACGAUCCGUAGCUGGUCUGAGAGGAUGAUCAGCCACACUGGAACUGAGACACGGUCCAGACUCCUACGGGAGGCAGCAGUGGGGAAUAUUGGACAAGGGGCGCAAGCCUGAUCCAGCCAUACCGCGUGGGUGAAGAAGGCCUUCGGGUUGUAAAGCCCUCUUGUUGGGAAAGAAAAGCAGCAGGUUAAUACCCCGCUGCUCUGACGGUACCCAAAGAAUAAGCACCGGCUAACUUCGUG